This 242-nucleotide non-coding RNA is filed under the name Symbiodinium sp. CCMP2430. The record is from RNAcentral. Lineage: Eukaryota; Dinophyceae; Suessiales; Symbiodiniaceae.
UAACCGAACCAAAGAGAACAAAGGCACAAAUAAAACACAACAACCCACAGAAUAAAGAUGUGAGAAAUGAGCGCGUCUUUUCCUUUUUCCUUUAUUCAAUUCACGCACUUGUUCCAUUCCUUUCCACUUCACUUGUAAUUGAAUAAAGGAAAGGAAAAAGGCACUCAUUCAUUUCUCACACUAGGAUAUAGUUGUGUGUUUUUAAUUGAAGCGAAUAGAACUGAAACAAAGAGAAAGACAAU